AGACCUAGCUGCUAUAGAAGCUCCAUCUAUCAAUGGCUAAGACCCCCCAGUCUUAGUGUAUAGGAGUUAUUGAAAAAUAAGGGAGCAAUACCACCUUCUUGUUCUAUCAAGAGGGCAGUAUUGCUCCUUUAUUUUCUUUUUAUUUGUUACAUUAUCAAAAAUUUAAAUAUCUCAGAAAAUAAAUGGUCGAAACAAUAUUCUAAAUAAAAUAGAAUUUCAAUUUUAAAUUAAAUUUCUUAUUCUUAAUAAUUAAAUUUCUUAUUCUUAAUAUUAACCUAAAUAUAUUAAUAUAAAAAUAUAUUAAUAUUAAUUAAUAUUAAUAUAAAUAGAAGAAAUAAAUAUAAAGAGUAUAAAGAGAGCGAGGGGGCGGAUGUAGCCAAGUGG
This 384-nucleotide unclassified non-coding RNA is filed under the name Leichhardtia rostrata. Its description in RNAcentral is "Marsdenia rostrata partial miscellaneous RNA". The record is from RNAcentral. Lineage: Eukaryota; Viridiplantae; Streptophyta; Magnoliopsida; Gentianales; Apocynaceae.